This 1460-nucleotide long non-coding RNA is filed under the name Mytilus galloprovincialis (Mediterranean mussel). The record is from RNAcentral. Lineage: Eukaryota; Metazoa; Mollusca; Bivalvia; Mytilida; Mytilidae.
UUGUAUUCCAAAAAUCAUUUGGACAGCUAUUAUUUGAAUCUAUAAUCUGUUUUAUCAUUUUAUGUCUAAAUUGUCUAUAUUUUUUCCUUAUAAGUUUAUUCAGUUCCUUUUUAUUAUAUAAUACUUUGUGUCUAAGACUGUCAUUCCAGGGCUCAGUACAUAAUUUUCUAGUCAGACUCUUUAAGGACCUAUAUUUAGAUUCACAUUCAUUAUCAUAAUAUGGCUUUUUUAUUUUUCUUCGUUUACUUCUCUUGGUUUUACCAGGGGUCUUAUUAGUAUUACUUAAAAAAGCAGCAUUGUAUAAUAUUGAUGAUAUACUAGAGACUGUAUCAUUAACACUUUGAGUUACAUUGGAAUUACAUGUAUUAUUCGCCUCUAUUUUUUGGGUUAAAUUAUCUACAUCAGAAUUAAUAGUUCCAAAGUUCACUUUCAACAUAUUGGACUUAAAAAUUUCUUCUCGUUUAGUAGUCCAUUUAACUCUUCUAAGAGUUGGCUUAACAUAAUUAUCACAUGACUUAUUUACUAAUUGAGAAUGUAUAGUUAUUGAAAUUGGACAGUGAUCAGAUAUUGUUGGUUCAAAUUGUCCUACACUAAAAUUGACAAUAUUUGGUAAAAAUUCAGAUGAACAUAAACAAUAGUCAUCAAUUGACACACCAUUAUGAUUAUAGAAAGUGAUUUUACCUUUUGAAUCACCGAGAGUUCUUCCAUUAAGGAUUCUUAAUUGAGAUUCUGUGCAUAAGUCAAGUAUUAAUUUUCCAUAGUUAUUAGUUUUUUGGUGUACUUGAGUAUUUCUAAAUUUGCAUACACUAUCUGCAACAUAAUUAGUGGGAAGAAAGUUGUCCAAACUGUCAUCUACUUCAUUUGUUAUGAAAUCUAACUCUUUACAGUUUAUAUGUGCAUUUAGAUCUCCCAUAAGGAUUACAUCCCCUGAUAUACUAUAUUUCGCAAUAUCUGCUUCAAGUUUCUCAAAAAUUUGUUUAUCAAAAUUUGUUCUUAAUGUGUAAGAUGAGUUUGAAGGAGGAAUAUAUAAAAAACAUAAAAAUACAUUUCUAUCAAAACUGAAAAAUGUCUUGUCUAGUUUAAACCACAUUAUAUCAUCCAUUGUUUUAUCCAUCAACUUUACACCUGAUAAUAUUUCCUUCUUAAAAAAUGUAGCUAAACCACCUCUAACUUUAUUUGAAUCAGAUGAUCUACAGUUUACAAAACAUUUAUAACCAUCAUAGUUUAAAAUCUCAUUGGUGGGGAUAUGCGUUUCUGAAAGACCAACAAUGUCUGCAGUCAUAAUUUGACAAAUAUUAUCAUCAUCUAGUUUACAAACUCUGUUACCACUUAUUCUUUUAAAUAAUCCAUUAACAUUCCAAGAGCUGAUAGAUAAUUGCUUUGAAACUUUUAUACACAUGAUCAAAAUCUAAAUUUGAAUUAACCAUUCAAAAUGCACAGGGGUCGGUGAACUGUAAAAC